RNAcentral lists this ribosomal RNA (253 nucleotides) under uncultured bacterium. RNAcentral describes it as "partial 16S ribosomal RNA". It matches the Rfam family "Bacterial small subunit ribosomal RNA", at positions 524 to 776 of the family's 1533-position model. The record is from RNAcentral.
UACAGAGGGGGCAAGCGUUAUUCGGAAUUAUUGGGCGUAAAGGGCGCGUAGGCGGCCUGGCAAGUGGAAGGUGAAAUCCCUCGGCUUAACCGAGGAACUGCCCUCCAAACUGCUUGGCUUGAGACCGGGAGAGGUGAGUGGAAUUCCCAGUGUAGCGGUGAAAUGCGUAGAUAUUGGGAGGAACACCAGUGGCGAAGGCGGCUCACUGGACCGGUACUGACGCUGAGACGCGAAAGCGUGGGGAGCAAACAGG